GUGCUCACUUUAGCAGCACGUAUACUAAACUUGGAAAAAUACAGAAAAGACUAGCACGGCCCCCACAUAAAAAUGACACAAAUUUGUGAAGUGUUCCAUAUUUUU
This is a small nuclear RNA of Dipodomys spectabilis (banner-tailed kangaroo rat), 105 nucleotides long. The record is from RefSeq and is a predicted model, not a curated record. NCBI's taxonomy places the organism in Eukaryota, Metazoa, Chordata, Mammalia, Rodentia, Heteromyidae.